This 500-nucleotide ribosomal RNA is filed under the name uncultured bacterium. RNAcentral's name for it is "bacterial SSU rRNA". It matches the Rfam family "Bacterial small subunit ribosomal RNA", at positions 68 to 554 of the family's 1533-position model. The record is from RNAcentral.
GGGGAAGGGUAGCUUGCUACCUGACCUAGCGGCGGACGGGUGAGUAAUGCUUAGGAAUCUGCCUAUUAGUGGGGGACAACAUUCCGAAAGGAAUGCUAAUACCGCAUACGCCCUACGGGGGAAAGCAGGGGAUCUUCGGACCUUGCGCUAAUAGAUGAGCCUAAGUCAGAUUAGCUAGUUGGUGGGGUAAAGGCCUACCAAGGCGACGAUCUGUAGCGGGUCUGAGAGGAUGAUCCGCCACACUGGGACUGAGACACCGGCCCAGACUCCUACGGGAGGCAGCAGUGGGGAAUAUUGGACAAUGGGCCAAAGCCUGAUCCCAGCCAUGCCGCGUUGUGUGAAAAAAGGCCUUUUGGGUUGUAAAGCACUUUAAGCGAGGAGGAGGCUUCCUGAAAAUUAAUCCUUUUGGGAUAGGGGCCGUUACUUCCAAAAAAGCCCCCGGGUUACCUUUUUCCCACAAGCCCCGGAAAACCAAGGGGGCCAACCUUAAUUCGAAUUAU